UGGGGAAUAUUGGACAAUGGGCGAAAGCCUGAUCCAGCCAUGCCGCGUGUGUGAAGAAGGUCUUCGGAUUGUACAGCACUUUAAGUUGGGAGGAAGGGCAGUAAGCGAAUACCUUGCUGUUUUGACGUUACCGACAGAAUAAGCACCGGCUAACUCUGUGCCAGCAGCUGCGGUAAUACAGAGGGUGCAAGCGUUAAUCGGAAUUACUGGGCGUAAAGCGCGCGUAGGUGGUUCGUUAAGUUGAAUGUGAAAGCCCCGGGCUCAACCUCGGAACUGCAUCCAAAGCUUGCGAGCUAGAGUAGGGCAGAGGGUGGUGGAAUUUCCUGUGUAGCGAUGAAAUGCUUAGAGAUAGGAAGGAACACCAGUGGCGAAGGCGACCACCUGGGCUCAUACUGACACUGAGGUGCGAAAGCGUGGGGAGCAAACAGG
RNAcentral lists this ribosomal RNA (429 nucleotides) under Pseudomonadota bacterium. RNAcentral's name for it is "Proteobacteria bacterium partial 16S ribosomal RNA". It matches the Rfam family "Bacterial small subunit ribosomal RNA", at positions 355 to 776 of the family's 1533-position model. Lineage: Bacteria; Pseudomonadati; Pseudomonadota. The record is from RNAcentral.